GGGGCUAUGGCGCAGUUGGUAGCGCGCUUCCAUGGCAUGGAAGAGGUCACGAGUUCGAAUCUCGUUAGCUCCACAA
Molecule: transfer RNA, 76 nt
Filed under: Propionicimonas sp.
Lineage: Bacteria; Bacillati; Actinomycetota; Actinomycetes; Propionibacteriales; Nocardioidaceae
Description: tRNA-Ala
Rfam family: tRNA
About the family: Transfer RNA (tRNA) molecules are approximately 80 nucleotides in length. Their secondary structure includes four short double-helical elements and three loops (D, anti-codon, and T loops).
Source: RNAcentral